AUUGAACGCUGGCGGCAGGCUUAACACAUGCAAGUCGAGCGGAGAUGAGGUGCUUGCACCUUAUCUUAGCGGCGGACGGGUGAGUAAUGCUUAGGAAUCUGCCAUUUAGUGGGGGACAACAUUCCGAAAGGAACGCUAAUACCGCAUACGUCCUACGGGAGAAAGCAGGGGAUCUUCGGACCUUGCGCUAAAUGAUGAGCCUAAGUCGGAUUAGCUAGUUGGUGGGGUAAAGGCCUACCAAGGCGACGAUCUGUAGCGGGUCUGAGAGGAUGAUCCGCCACACUGGGACUGAGACACGGCCCAGACUCCUACGGGAGGCAGCAGUGGGGAAUAUUGGACAAUGGGCGGAAGCCUGAUCCAGCCAUGCCGCGUGUGUGAAGAAGGCCUUUUGGUUGUAAAGCACUUUAAGCGAGGAGGAGGCUACUGAGACUAAUACUCUUGGAUAGUGGACGUUACUCGCAGAAUAAGCACCGGCUAACUCUGUGCCAGCCGCCGCCGUAA
Molecule: ribosomal RNA, 501 nt
Filed under: uncultured bacterium
Lineage: Bacteria
Description: partial 16S ribosomal RNA
Rfam family: Bacterial small subunit ribosomal RNA
Source: RNAcentral